This 117-nucleotide transfer RNA is filed under the name Candidatus Woesearchaeota archaeon. Its description in RNAcentral is "tRNA-Lys". It matches the Rfam family "tRNA". From Rfam's summary of the family: Transfer RNA (tRNA) molecules are approximately 80 nucleotides in length. Their secondary structure includes four short double-helical elements and three loops (D, anti-codon, and T loops). Lineage: Archaea; Nanobdellati; Candidatus Woesearchaeota. The record is from RNAcentral.
GGCUCGUUAGCUCAGCUUGGCUAGAGCACUUGGCUCUUAACCAAGGGGUCGGGGGUUCAAAUAGAUUUAUUGUCUUAGAUUUUCUAGGAUAAGAUCUUGAUAGUCCCCUACGGGCCA